GGUCCCAUCGUCUAGUGGUUAGGACACCAGGUUUUCAUCCUGGUAACAGGGGUUCAAUUCCCCUUGGGACUA
This 72-nucleotide transfer RNA is filed under the name bacterium. RNAcentral describes it as "tRNA-Glu". It matches the Rfam family "tRNA". Rfam says of the family: Transfer RNA (tRNA) molecules are approximately 80 nucleotides in length. Their secondary structure includes four short double-helical elements and three loops (D, anti-codon, and T loops). The record is from RNAcentral. RNAcentral also lists the same sequence under 1 other name.